Camellia sinensis is the source of this 2015-nucleotide non-coding RNA. NCBI's taxonomy places the organism in Eukaryota, Viridiplantae, Streptophyta, Magnoliopsida, Ericales, Theaceae. The record is from RefSeq and is a predicted model, not a curated record.
CCACUUAUGGUGAGUUUAGCUUUCUCUACUAGAUUCCAAACGUGCGAUUAACACAAUUAUUACCAAUGCCCUCCUGCAAAAAGCACACUAUUAUACUUCGCUUAGUUCUCCGCUCUCCCUUAUCAAUGGCGUGACUGCUUUAACAGUUUCAAAGAUCUCUGCUCCUCGUUUUCUCUCACUUUCCUCUCUUUCUCUCUCUCUAAAAUUCUUAACAUUGUUCCCAUAUUUGGUUCUAUAUAUAGAUUUUCAGUGUUGUAGGCUAGUGAUUGGUUUUUGAGAUUUUUUGGGUGGGAUUGAUUGACACAGCUAUGAGGAAGCUUAUGGGUUUAUGGGUUCUAUUUGUUGUUGGGUUUGUUAGCAAAUGUGUAGAUGGGUUUGAGUAUUUCAAUCUGACAGAGCUUCGAUUUGAAUCUUUCUAUGGAGUCUCUGCUUCCGACGGUAAUAAUCCUCUCACCGUCGGUCUUACCCUCAUUCAAGGUGCUGCUGCCAAAGGCGCUGUAUGUUUGGACGGAACAUUACCUGGUUAUCAUUUCCACCGCGGAUAUGAUUCAGGAGCAAACAGUUGGCUCAUUCAAUUGGAGGGUGGAGGAUGGUGUAAUGCCAUACGAUCUUGUGUUUACCGCAAAACGACUCGGCGUGGAUCAUCAACUUACAUGGAAAAGCAGAUACCAUUUACAGGAAUACUUAGCAAUAAGGCCGAAGAAAAUCCAGAUUUUUUCAAUUGGAAUAGAGUAAAGGUUCGUUAUUGUGAUGGUGCCUCCUUUGCUGGGGAUAGUGAAGAUAAGGCUGCACAACUGGAAUUUAGAGGGCAACGCAUAUGGUCAGCUGCUAUGGAAGAUUUAAUGUCAAGGGGGAUGAGCAAUGCUGACCAGGCUCUUCUUUCAGGGUGUUCUGCUGGGGGCUUGGCUUCUAUAUUACAUUGUGAUGAGUUCCGAAAUUUAUUUCCUGCAAGUACUAAAGUGAAGUGCUUGAGUGAUGCUGGAUUAUUCCUUGACGCGGUUGAUGUAUCUGGUGGGCACACCCUUAGGAAUUUUUUUAGUGGUGUGGUUAGCUUGCAGGGGGUGCAAAAGAAUCUUCCAAGCACUUGUACUGAGAAUCUUGAUCCCACUUCGUGCUUCUUCCCCGAGAACUUAAUUGCCAAUGUCAAAACCCCUCUAUUUAUUCUCAAUGCAGCCUAUGAUUCAUGGCAGGUCCAGGCCAGUUUAGCUCCUGCAUCAGCUGAUCCUAAUGGCAGUUGGCGUGACUGCAAAAUGAAUCAUGCAAGUUGUUCAGAAUCACAGAUCCAGUUUCUGCAAGACUUCAGAAAUCAUAUGCUGAAUGCAAUAGAGGGAUUCUCAACGUCCGAAGAAAAUGGGUUAUUCAUAAAUUCAUGUUUUGCUCACUGCCAAACAGAGAGGCAGGAUACAUGGUUUGCUGAUGAUUCACCUCUUGUUGGCAAUAAGGAGGCCCAGCUUGAAGAAAACUCGAGGAGAUGCUUCCAAAUGUCCACUGAGCUAGGCUCUAGUUUUUUGGAGAUCUAGUAAAACUAGAACUCAACUUGAAAUUAUUGGUCCUUGAGAUUUGUGAUUUAGUUAUUGUUAGUGUGUGUUUGUUUGUUUGUUCUCCCCUUUUUAAUCUUUUAAGAGACAGCAAAGAAUACAAAUAAUCAAGAAUUGAAGAUUUAAUCCCACAUAAACAUACCUCAUUGGACUUAAAAACAAUUCAAAGAUGGAAUGGGAUCGCGCUAUCUGUUGGAGAUUGGUAUUUUGAUCGAUCAAGCGUUAAGGCCAUCGACUGUGCGUACCCCUGUGACAACACUUGUCACAAUCUGAUUUUCAAAUAAGGCAGCAACAUAUAUGUAUUUAUUAUUAUUAUUAUUAUUUUUAAUUUCAUUGGCACAUUUAUGUUGUCAUCUUAGUGAGUUAUCUCAUCUCCCAUUCAGAAAGCUAGCAAUUUUUAAUCUUCAUUAAAGACAAUAAAAUUGCAAUUCGGCGAGUAAGUGCACAUGAUUUAUAUACUUAAUUUUCUUUCUUCUA